This 234-nucleotide ribosomal RNA is filed under the name Geobacillus sp. LEMMJ02. RNAcentral's name for it is "partial 23S ribosomal RNA". It matches the Rfam family "Bacterial large subunit ribosomal RNA", at positions 813 to 1044 of the family's 2925-position model. The record is from RNAcentral. Lineage: Bacteria; Bacillati; Bacillota; Bacilli; Caryophanales; Anoxybacillaceae.
GGGUAGGGGUGAAAUGCCAAUCGAACUUGGAGAUAGCUGGUUCUCCCCGAAAUAGCUUUAGGGCUAGCCUCGGGUUUAAGAGUCUUGGAGGUAGAGCACUGAUUGGGCUAGGGGCCCCAAACGGGUUACCGAACCCAGUCAAACUCCGAAUGCCAAUGACUUAUGCCCGGGAGUCAGACUGCGAGUGAUAAGAUCCGUGGUCGAGAGGGGAACAGCCCAGACCGCCAGCUAAGG